This 118-nucleotide ribosomal RNA is filed under the name Anolis carolinensis (green anole). The record is from RNAcentral. Lineage: Eukaryota; Metazoa; Chordata; Lepidosauria; Squamata; Anolidae.
AAAUACGGUCUAAAUACCCUAAAGGCACAAGAUCCUGUCUGAUCUUGGAAGCUAAGCAUCAUCAGCCCUGAUUAAUAUUUGGAUGGGGGACCAUAAUGAAUAACAGGUGCUGUAGGUU